This 484-nucleotide ribosomal RNA is filed under the name uncultured bacterium. RNAcentral's name for it is "partial 16S ribosomal RNA". It matches the Rfam family "Bacterial small subunit ribosomal RNA", at positions 29 to 507 of the family's 1533-position model. The record is from RNAcentral.
AUUGAACGCUGGCGGCAUGCUUUACACAUGCAAGUCGAACGGCAGCGCGGGCUUCGGCCUGGCGGCGAGUGGCGAACGGGUGAGUAAUGCAUCGGAACGUGCCCAGUAGUAGGGGAUAGCCCGGCGAAAGCCGGAUUAAUACCGCAUACGACCUGAGGGUGAAAGCGGGGGACCGAAAGGCCUCGCGCUAUUGGAGCGGCCGAUGUCGGAUUAGCUAGUUGGUGGGGUAAAGGCUUACCAAGGCGACGAUCCGUAGCUGGUCUGAGAGGACGACCAGCCACACUGGGACUGAGACACGGCCCAGACUCCUACGGGAGGCAGCAGUGGGGAAUUUUGGACAAUGGGGGCAACCCUGAUCCAGCCAUGCCGCGUGCGGGAAGAAGGCCUUCGGGUUGUAAACCGCUUUUGUUCGGGAAGAAAUCCUCUGGGCUAAUACCCCGGGGGGAUGACGGUACCGGAAGAAUAAGCACCGGCUAACUACGUG